RNAcentral lists this ribosomal RNA (274 nucleotides) under uncultured bacterium. RNAcentral's name for it is "partial 16S ribosomal RNA". It matches the Rfam family "Bacterial small subunit ribosomal RNA", at positions 523 to 796 of the family's 1533-position model. The record is from RNAcentral.
AUACGGAGGGUGCAAGCGUUACUCGGAAUCACUGGGCGUAAAGCGCGCGCAGGCGACCCGAUAAGUUGGAUGUGAAAGCCUACGGCUCAACCGUAGAACUGCAUCCAAAACUAUUAGACUAGAGUGUGGGAGAGGAAGAUGGAAUUAGUUGUGUAGGGGUAAAAUCCGUAGAGAUAACUAGGAAUACCAAAAGCGAAGGCAAUCUUCUGGAACACUACUGACGCUGAGGCGCGAAAGCGUGGGGAGCAAACAGGAUUAGAUACCCUAGUAGUCC